RNAcentral lists this ribosomal RNA (433 nucleotides) under uncultured bacterium. RNAcentral describes it as "partial 16S ribosomal RNA". It matches the Rfam family "Bacterial small subunit ribosomal RNA", at positions 29 to 507 of the family's 1533-position model. The record is from RNAcentral.
AACGAACGCUGGCGGCAUGCCUAACACAUGCAAGUCGAACGAGACCUUCGGGUCUAGUGGCGCACGGGUGCGUAACGCGUGGGAACCUGCCCUUAGGUUCGGAAUAACUCCCCGAAAGGGGUGCUAAUACCGGAUAAUGUCUUCGGACCAAAGAUUUAUCGCCUUUGGAUGGGCCCGCGUUGGAUUAGCUAGUUGGUAGGGUAAAAGCCUACCAAGGCGACGAUCCAUAGCUGGUCUGAGAGGAGGAUCAGCCACACUGGGACUGAGACACGGCCCAGACUCCUACGGGAGGCAGCAGUGGGGAAUAUUGGACAAGGGGCGAAAGCCUGAUCCAGCAAUGCCGCGUGAGUGAUGAAGGCCUUAGGGUUGUAAAGCUCUUUUACCCGGGAUGAUAAUGACAGUACCGGGAGAAUAAGCACCGGCUAACUCCGUG